This 913-nucleotide ribosomal RNA is filed under the name metagenome. RNAcentral describes it as "bacterial SSU rRNA". It matches the Rfam family "Bacterial small subunit ribosomal RNA", at positions 297 to 1205 of the family's 1533-position model. The record is from RNAcentral.
UUUUUGAUUCGGUCGAGUGGGACUGAGACACGGCCCAGACUCCUACGGGAGGCAGCAGUGGGGAAUAUUGCACAAUGGGCGCAAGCCUGAUGCAGCCAUGCCGCGUGUGUGAAGAAGGCCUUCGGGUUGUAAAGCACUUUCAGUCAGGAGGAAAGGUUAGUAGUUAAUACCUGCUAGCUGUGACGUUACUGACAGAAGAAGCACCGGCUAACUCCGUGCCAGCAGCCGCGGUAAUACGGAGGGUGCGAGCGUUAAUCGGAAUUACUGGGCGUAAAGCGUACGCAGGCGGUUUGUUAAGCGAGAUGUGAAAGCCCCGGGCUCAACCUGGGAACUGCAUUUCGAACUGGCAAACUAGAGUGUGAUAGAGGGUGGUAGAAUUUCAGGUGUAGCGGUGAAAUGCGUAGAGAUCUGAAGGAAUACCGAUGGCGAAGGCAGCCACCUGGGUCAACACUGACGCUCAUGUACGAAAGCGUGGGGAGCAAACGGGAUUAGAUACCCCGGUAGUCCACGCCGUAAACGAUGUCUACUAGAAGCUCGGAGCCUCGGUUCUGUUUUUCAAAGCUAACGCAUUAAGUAGACCGCCUGGGGAGUACGGCCGCAAGGUUAAAACUCAAAUGAAUUGACGGGGGCCCGCACAAGCGGUGGAGCAUGUGGUUUAAUUCGAUGCAACGCGAAGAACCUUACCUACACUUGACAUACAGAGAACUUACCAGAGAUGGUUUGGUGCCUUAGGGAACUCUGAUACAGGUGCUGCAUGGCUGUCGUCAGCUCGUGUUGUGAGAUGUCGGGUUAAGUCCCGCAACGAGCGCAACCCUAUCCUUAGUUGCUAGCAGGUAAUGCUGAGAACUCUAAGGAGAAUGGCGGUGAUAACCGGAGGAAGGUGGGGACCACGUCCAGUCAUCUGGGACCUUAC